GGGCUGUAGCUCAGUGGUGGAGUGCCAGCCUCGCACAUGUGAGGCACUGAGUUCGAUCCUCAGCACCCA
RNAcentral lists this transfer RNA (69 nucleotides) under Marmota monax (woodchuck). Its description in RNAcentral is "tRNA.Ala". Lineage: Eukaryota; Metazoa; Chordata; Mammalia; Rodentia; Sciuridae. The record is from RNAcentral.